This 1839-nucleotide long non-coding RNA is filed under the name Betta splendens (Siamese fighting fish). RNAcentral describes it as "lncRNA (ENSBSLG00000000667.1)". The record is from RNAcentral. Lineage: Eukaryota; Metazoa; Chordata; Actinopteri; Anabantiformes; Osphronemidae.
CAGAAUUUAUAACCUUUGCAUGACUGUAGUAACAAUAAAUUUGCUUUCAGCUUGUGAGUCACAGAAGGCGUAAAAGACAUAAAUAGAAUGGUUCUGAUGUCUUUCACCUCUGCUAUUAGCUGUGGUUUUACUGAGAACAAGCAGCUCAAACUGUCAGUUCAUGCGUUCAGAUCAUUCUUUGCUUCUUCAGUGGAAUCUGGAUAGUUUCAUUUUGCAGCUUCAUCAUGUUUCAACACUUGUUUCUCAUCGUGUAUUGUUUUUAUCAGAUUCAAGCACAAGGUCAGUUUGUCAUGUCCUAUAUUCACAUCUGUCACAUUUGUCUGAUUAUUUUACUUUGUAGCUUCACUUCUUUCAUAUACGUUAAAACACAAUUUCUCCUUUUUCGCAGCGCUUCCUUCAGCUAAUCUAAUAGUGAAUAAACACACGAUCACAGAGUCAGACUCAGUUACGCUGCAUUGUCAGACUCCGUCAUCUAUUGCUGUGGAUCAGUGUUAUUUCUAUACUGAUCGAGGACAAACUCCUAAAAUCUUCCCCUGCCUGCAGACACUGACAGGAACUGAUCUACUGUCUAUGUCACAGCAGCGUCCACCUGCUAAUGUUGAAGUCAAGUGUUUUUAUACUGUAAAGUAUAAAGACACACGUUCUCCGUCUCCACACAGUGACUCAGUCUCCAUCGCUGUACACAGUAAGCAGCUGCCUUUAGAUUUGAUGGGAUUGAUUGUUCCCCUUGAAUCACAGUAAAAACAUUUUGAGUAGUGACAAUCUGACCUGAAUAAUUUAAGCAUAAUGUGCUUGAUACCAGAAUGUCCAAUAUAUUUAUUGUCUUUAUUUUUUGAAGGUCAAAAACCACAGAUGAGCUGUUCUGACUUGGGUGACCACUUUGUCUUAACUUGCUCUUUGCCUGAAUCUGUUGAACGUGGUACAAAAUGUAACUUGUACAUUGGAGAAGCAGAUCAUCCAGUCUCAGUACCAACCACCAUGAAGAAAACCACCUCAAGAAUACAGCAGUUGUGUCAGUUUUAUAUCACGAGAGACGUUUUGCUGAAACUCCUACAAUUAGUUCAGCUAAAGGAGGCCAGCUGUGAUUACAGCCUGGAACAUGAACCCAACUUUGCUUCUGCUCGUAGUGAUGGAUGCAGCUUGACUGAUUCAUUUUCUGGUAUAAAAACACAAGGUCUGGUUCCACCUGAGCUGACAGUGACUCCACUGGUGAUCACAGAGUCAGACUCAGUCACUGUGAACUGUCAGACUCCAUCAUCUGUUCCUGUGUCUCAGUGUCACUUCACUGUGACGGGACAUUUACGUCUUGGAGACUCGUCUUGUCUUCAGACAGUGACAGGAGCUGAUCUGUUGCACAUGACAGGUCAGAGGUCACCUGCUGAGGUCAAACUUACAUGUUAUUACACUGUGAAGCUUGGAGAGAGAGAGUCUACAUCCACAGACAGUCAAACAUCAUCCAUCACCAUAAACUCUCUUCACCAGCCUGAGCUGACAGUGACUCCACUGGUGAUCACAGAGUCAGACUCAGUCACUGUGAACUGUCAGACUCCAUCAUCUGUUCCUGUCUAUCAGUGUUGGCUCUACUCAGUGAGGGAUCAAACCUCCAGAGUCGUCUCUUGUCAUCAGACACUGACAGGAACUGAGCUGAUGAAAAUGACUCAAAGUUCACCUGUUGAGAUUGAAGUUACAUGUUAUUACAGUGUAGAGCGAAGAGGAACUAUAUCUCUGUCUCAAUUCAGUAACUCUAUCAUCAUACAGAGUAAGUAGCUACUGGGAUACGUUUUAUUACAGCUUAUUACAAUAUUAACUAGUAUCAAAUUCGUACCAUCACCUGCUUCA